GUAACCUGCCCUCCACUUCGGGAUAACCUCGGGAAAUCGUGGCUAAUACCGGAUAUGAGCACUCAUCGCAUGGUGGGUGUUGGAAAGAUUUAUCGGUGGGGGAUGGACUCGCGGCCUAUCAGUUUGUUGGUGAGGUGAUGGCUCACCAAGACGAUGACGGGUAGCCGGCCUGAGAGGGCGACCGGCCACACUGGGACUGAGACACGGCCCAGACUCCUACGGGAGGCAGCAGUGGGGAAUAUUGCACAAUGGGCGAAAGCCUGAUGCAGCGACGCCGCGUGGGGGAUGACGGCCUUCGGGUUGUAAACCCCUUUCCAGUAGGGAAGAAGCGAGAGUGACGGUACCUGCAGAAGAAGCGCCGGCUAACUACGUGCCAGCAGCCGCGGUAAUACGUAGGGCGCAAGCGUUGUCCGGAAUUAUUGGGCGUAAAGAGCUUGUAGGUGGCUUGUCGCGUCUGCCGUGAAAACCCGAGGCUCAACCUCGGGCGUGCGGUGGGUACGGGCAGGCUAGAGUGUGGUAGGGGAGACUGGAACUCCUGGUGUAGCGGUGAAAUGCGCAGAUAUCAGGAAGAACACCGAUGGCGAAGGCAGGUCUCUGGGCCAUUACUGACACUGAGAAGCGAAAGCAUGGGUAGCGAACAGGAUUAGAUACCCUGGUAGUCCAUGCCGUAAACGUUGGGCACUAGGUGUGGGGGACAUUCCACGUUUUCCGCGCCGUAGCUAACGCAUUAAGUGCCCCGCCUGGGGAGUACGGCCGCAAGGCUAAAACUCAAAGGAAUUGACGGGGGCCCGCACAAGCGGCGGAGCAUGCUGAUUAAUUCGAUGCAACGCGAAGAACCUUACCAAGGCUUGACAUGCACUGGACGGCUGCAGAGAUGUGGCUUUCUUUGGACUGGUGCACAGGUGGUGCAUGGUUGUCGUCAGCUCGUGUCGUGAGAUGUUGGGUUAAGUCCCGCAACGAGCGCAACCCUCGUUCUAUGUUGCCAGCACGUGAUGGUGGGGACUCAUAGGAGACUGCCGGGGUCAACUCGGAGGAAGGUGGGGACGACGUCAAAUCAUCAUGCCCCUUAUGUCUUGGGCUUCAAGCAUGCUACAAUGGUCGGUACAAUGGGUUGCGAAACUGUGAGGUGGAGCGAAUCCCAAAAAGCCGGCCUCAGUUCGGAUUGGGGUCUGCAACUCGACCCC
RNAcentral lists this ribosomal RNA (1184 nucleotides) under Brachybacterium sp. SBT376. Its description in RNAcentral is "bacterial SSU rRNA". It matches the Rfam family "Bacterial small subunit ribosomal RNA", at positions 121 to 1319 of the family's 1533-position model. Lineage: Bacteria; Bacillati; Actinomycetota; Actinomycetes; Micrococcales; Dermabacteraceae. The record is from RNAcentral.